GGAGUAUCGACCCUCUCUGUGCCGAAGCUAACGCUUUAAGUAUCCCGCCUGGGGACUACGGUCGCAAGACUAAAACUCAAAGGAAUUGACGGGGGCCCGCACAAGCAGCGGAGCGUGUGGUUUAAUUCGACGCAACACGAAGAACCUUACCAGGGCUUGACAUGUUGGAAGUAGUGAACCGAAAGGGAAACG
RNAcentral lists this ribosomal RNA (192 nucleotides) under uncultured bacterium. Its description in RNAcentral is "partial 16S rRNA". It matches the Rfam family "Bacterial small subunit ribosomal RNA", at positions 826 to 1014 of the family's 1533-position model. The record is from RNAcentral.